Non-coding RNA from Podospora fimiseda, 120 nucleotides. The record is from the annotation of a GenBank genome assembly. Lineage: Eukaryota; Fungi; Ascomycota; Sordariomycetes; Sordariales; Podosporaceae.
AUCCCCGUAGCGUAGUGGUCAGCGUUUGUGUGCUUUAUUUCCAGCGUCUCUCUGUAUAUUUAUCUAGCGAAUUUGGAUUUGAGGCAGCGAAAGACGUCGGUUCGAAUCUGACCGGGGACA